UGAGGAAUAUUGCGCAAUGGGGGAAACCCUGACGCAGCGACGCCGCGUGGAUGAUGAAGGCUUUCGGGUCGUAAAAUCCUGUCAGAUGGGAAGAAGUGGUUCAGGGCUAAUACCCUUGUUCUUUGACGGUACCAUCAAAGGAAGCACCGGCUAACUCCGUGCCAGCAGCCGCGGUAAUACGGAGGGUGCAAGCGUUGUUCGGAAUUACUGGGCGUAAAGCGCGCGUAGGCGGCUUAUUGUGUCAGAUGUGAAAGUCCACGGCUCAACCGUGGAAGUGCAUUUGAAACUGGUAAGCUUGAGUACUGGAGGGGAUGGUGGAAUUCCCGGUGUAGAGGUGAAAUUCGUAGAUAUCGGGAGGAAUACCGGUGGCGAAGGCGACCAUCUGGCCAGAUACUGACGCUGAGGUGCGAAAGCGUGGGGAGCAAACAGG
This 430-nucleotide ribosomal RNA is filed under the name uncultured prokaryote. RNAcentral's name for it is "bacterial SSU rRNA". It matches the Rfam family "Bacterial small subunit ribosomal RNA", at positions 355 to 776 of the family's 1533-position model. RNAcentral also lists the same sequence under 1 other name. The record is from RNAcentral.